Molecule: small nuclear RNA, 314 nt
Filed under: Mesocricetus auratus (golden hamster)
Lineage: Eukaryota; Metazoa; Chordata; Mammalia; Rodentia; Cricetidae
Description: 7SK RNA (ENSMAUG00000006928.1)
Rfam family: 7SK RNA
About the family: 7SK was discovered as an abundant small nuclear RNA in the mid-70s but a possible function has only recently been suggested. Two independent studies have found that 7SK RNA binds the CDK9/cyclin T complex (known as elongation factor P-TEFb).
Source: RNAcentral
GCAAGUUUGGGAGAUUUGGCUAUAACAUCUGUCUCCCCAUCACGUUUCAGGCUGCUUUAGCUUAUGUGGCUACAUGGUGCCUCCUUUCUCCCCCAGUACUCCAGGUACCUCUGUUCCCAAGCAGAAUGCUCAGUCUAUAAGGAUGAGUUUUCCUUAUACAGGAGGAUGAUCAUAAGCAAAGUUUAUAUGAGCUGAACUAUCCUGUUGGAACCUGCUAACACAUUCUCAGGAGAUAUUUUAUAGACAGCAGUUUCUGCCCCAGCUGGUCCUGCAGCCCAUUCAUCCAAAUAAACACACUCAAGGUUAUAUUAAUU